RNAcentral lists this ribosomal RNA (269 nucleotides) under uncultured prokaryote. Its description in RNAcentral is "partial 16S ribosomal RNA". It matches the Rfam family "Bacterial small subunit ribosomal RNA", at positions 524 to 792 of the family's 1533-position model. The record is from RNAcentral.
UACGAGGGGUGCUAGCGUUAUUCGGAAUUACUGGGCGUAAAGGGUGUGUAGACGGCAUAUUAAGUCGAUUGUUAAAUUCUCCGGCCUAACCGGAGAUCUGCGAACGAAACUGAUGUGCUUGAGGGUGGAAGAGAGAAGUGGAAUUCUCGGAGUAGCGGUAAAAUGCGUAGAUCUCGAGAGGAACACCGAUGGCGAAGGCAGCUUCUUGGUCCACUCCUGACGUUGAGACACGAAAGCGUGGGGAGCAAACAGGAUUAGAUACCCCCGUA